AAGAGUAUAUGUGAGCAGGUUUAACCCGUUCAUCCCAAUUUACAUUUCUAUAAUGCUGAAAAGAAAAUUUCAUCUUAAUCUCUACUUUAAAUUAAAAUUCAACCCAUCACACUCAAGAGGUCACCCCUCCCUCCGUUUGAGCUUCCGUUCCCCCGGUGUACGGCCGGUGAAUGCUUCUCAAAAGCACACACAACUAUCGUCCAACCUCUCGGUUCGCCGGACGGUAGGGUGAAAACGGCGCGGUGCAGGUGUAUGCAGGGAACGCUCCACAAGCCCCGCCUUGGCAACCACCCGGACGUUCAGUCAACAUCCUUCCCGGGGACAGUUGCUGCCCAGUUGCUUUCCAUUCGCAUUGGAUCAGCCCACC
This is a long non-coding RNA of Anopheles arabiensis, 367 nucleotides long. RefSeq lists it as uncharacterized. Lineage: Eukaryota; Metazoa; Arthropoda; Insecta; Diptera; Culicidae. The transcript has 3 exons. The record is from RefSeq and is a predicted model, not a curated record.